GGUUAGAUAAGAAUUCAGUUAAUUAUGCAAUACAUUUUCAGUCAGUCUACUCCAAAACAGCAACCAAGCAAGUAAGCGAUGCAAAACAUUACAGUAUUGACUCUAGGUAGUAAGCGACCAAUAGCAUGCAGUACAAUAGACUCUAUGUGUCACUAGUCUACUCGAUCAAGCAUGCUUGUUCAUUUUAUUUGUUUGCCACAAGUUCCGGUCCAGCACUGAUCUAUAGUCCUAAUUUUAUUUUCUAGUUAUUUUGGUCAGGUCCGGAGGUGCACUUGCUACAUAACAGACGUCGGAAAGAGAUAGGUACCAAAUAAUUUUUUUUUUUAAGAAUAGACAAAUUAGUUCAAGAUGAGAAGACUUUAGUUAUUUAGAUGAGAAGCGAAAUUAUUCUUUCUUACGAGAGUCUCUACCUAAGUACAUGCCUGUUUCCUCAAGCGCGUUCUGUUACCAAUUUUUUUGUGACGCCCGUUAUCUCUCACAAAGUCAGCGUAACGGAAGAAUCGUCACGUAAAGAGUUGCACCAAGAUCAACUUGAGAAAAACAGUAGCAUGUACAAUAGGAACCUUCACCGUU
RNAcentral lists this long non-coding RNA (573 nucleotides) under Brachypodium distachyon (stiff brome). RNAcentral describes it as "long non-coding RNA (BDIS_LNC003259)". Lineage: Eukaryota; Viridiplantae; Streptophyta; Magnoliopsida; Poales; Poaceae. The record is from RNAcentral.